This 253-nucleotide ribosomal RNA is filed under the name uncultured bacterium. RNAcentral's name for it is "partial 16S ribosomal RNA". It matches the Rfam family "Bacterial small subunit ribosomal RNA", at positions 524 to 776 of the family's 1533-position model. The record is from RNAcentral.
UACAGAGGUCUCGAGCGUUGUUCGGAUUCAUUGGGCGUAAAGGGUGCGUAGGCGGCGAGCUAAGUUUGGUGUGAAAUCCUGGGGCUUAACCUCAGAAAUGCACUGAAUACUGGUUUGCUAGAGGACUGGAGAGGAGAUUGGAAUUCCUGGUGUAGCGGUGAAAUGCGCAGAUAUCAGGAGGAACACCGGUGGCGAAGGCGGGUCUCUGGGCCGAUACUGACGCUGAGGAGCGGAAGCGUGGGGAGCGAACAGG